CCUACGGGGGGCAGCAGUGGGGAAUAUUGCGCAAUGGGCGAAAGCCUGACGCAGCGACGCCGCGUGAGGGAUGAAGGUCUUCGGAUCGUAAACCUCUGUCAGCAGGGAAGAACGGUCACUGUGCUAAUCAGCAGUGAAUUGACGGUACCUGCAAAGGAAGCACCGGCUAACUCCGUGCCAGCAGCCGCGGUAAUACGGAGGGUGCGAGCGUUAAUCGGAAUUACUGGGCGUAAAGCGCACGUAGGCGGUAUGUCAAGUCAAGGGUGAAAUCCCCGCGCUCAACGUGGGAACUGCCUUUGAAACUGGCAAACUGGAGUGUGUGAGAGGGUAGUGGAAUUCCAGGUGUAGGAGUGAAAUGCGUAGAUAUCUGGAGGAACAUCAGUGGCGAAGGCGACUAUCUGGCACAUGACUGACGCUGAGGAGCGAAAGCGUGGGUAGCAAACAGGAUUAGAUACCCUUGUAGUC
Molecule: ribosomal RNA, 465 nt
Filed under: uncultured bacterium
Lineage: Bacteria
Description: partial 16S ribosomal RNA
Rfam family: Bacterial small subunit ribosomal RNA
Source: RNAcentral